CUUAUUUGCCGUUACAAUCGCUCUCCAUCAUAUCACCGUCGUGUUUCUCUUCACCAGCCAACAACUCAACAGUGAAUCGUGUCAGCUGGUGCCUUACACAAGGACCAUGGGAGAGAAGCGAUGUGAGAAUGAGGACGUGUGCCGAUCUACGCUGAAUAAGAGGGAGAAACAGACAACCUGCGCCGUAUCACACCAUGUGCCAUAGACUUCGUGUUCUGUGGCGAUGAUUGGCAUGUGUUCGUGUAGUUGGCCACUCUUUGCCUUCACCGCUGCUGUUUUGUAUGCUCGUAGCCGGCCGCCAAGGCAAAGGAACGAGCACCGUGUGGGGCAUACGCAUUUUCGACGCCAUCCCUUUUCUCUUCCGAUCCCACAAACAUAGCCGCGGCGGUCCCUUUCCUUCACCGCCCAUUCCUUCUUUGCCAGAUGUCGUUUUUCUUCAAAGGUCGCGUAUUCCGUUGCUUGACUGAAUUCCUUUAUUUUUUUUCUCGUGUGUGCGCGAUCGCUUUUGCUGAUGUUUUCGUUGUUUCGUGGUUUUGAGCGCAUCAACACCGCCUGUGGCUAUCAUGAUUCCAGUACACAAUUACACGCCUUCUCUUUCUCCUUCUUAGCCGUGUUUGCUGGAUUCCUUUCAAGGAAAUCAAGGUAGCGCUCCCGAAGCGAUGUGUCUCUGCGGCGUUGCACGGGCGUCACGUGCAUACAGCGGCUUCGUCUUUGAUAGGGUGCAGGUAGAAAAACACACACACACAUAUAUAUAUAUAUAACCGGCCCUCCAUUGUCAACAAGGGCACGCACAAGUACGCCCACCACCACCACCCCUUCACGCACAUGAGGGAAAACGAGCCACUCUAUUCUUCCUCUUAAUCGUUUUCCGUGUCGCAUUCAUGCAUAUCCUUUAUUUUUGUUCCUCUCCCCUCCCCAUCCGGUCAUCCCCACAUUCGUCACACGUCCGUCCCAUGCGGAUAUCAUCUGUUGUUGUCUUUCAUGUGUAGACCACUACCUCCCACGGAUAGGCCUGAUAUGCUCCUGAUGGCCUUCUCGGAGGCGAGUGCAGACUACCCGGGAUCUGUGCCUCGUUCGUCUGCGGCGAUGUUUCAAGUUUUCCAGCGGAGUGAAGCAUGUCGCAGCCGAGCUUCUCCUUGUUCUCUCGAUAUCGUUCUUGGCAUGCGCCCGUUUUGUCUUGUGCAGUUCGUGUGUGUGUGUGUGUGUGCGCGCGCCCCUGAACACUCACGUUGGACAUUCUCGCCUUCGCAUAGCUCCCAAUAUCAAAAAAAAAAAGAAACGCGAGGGUGCUCUCUUUUUCUUCCUGUCUUCCCUCUCUUUGCGUGUGCACUGCGACGUGCGCUGCCUCCCAAGCCCCUGCUCCCCAUCCCGCAAUCGUGCAAGCAUCUGUGUCAUUGAUGGCGGGUGACGCGCUUCUCGCACCUGCUGCUUGUUAUUUUUGUUUUUGCUUUUUUUUUCGUGCGUGCAUGCGUGUUCUCCCUUCUGUUUUUGUUUGGUUUCCAUAAGGCUUUCGUCUUGUUUUUGUGUUGUUGCUGAUAAGGUCGCAACUUGGAUACCGAACGCACACGGAGAUGCAUGUGUACGAUGCGUGCCUGCCUCUCUCUUCCUCCCUCCUUCCCUGUAGCGCUGUAUGCCUUCUCCACAUCUCCUCCUCGUUUAUUUUUGAUCUGAGUGUGCUGCUUCUCUGAGCUUGCUCGGUGUACGUACGUUCUUUCUCGUGCGACCUUUCUGUUUUAUCCAUCCUUCUGGUAAUUCGCUAGUUGGCACUGCUCUCGCCUCCCCCUUCUCCCACGUCUGCUUUACUCACCGGGGCGCCGUUGCUUCCAUCUGGGGUCUUCUUCUGCCACCGUGCUGCAUUGUCCAACGCGGUGGCUGUGUACAGCUGAGUGGGAGAUGAGUUCUUUGCUGCUGUUGCUCGUAGUCGUCUGCCGUGGCGCUUUUCUGCUCUCCGUGAGUCAUCGUUGUAAUUUGUGAUGUUUUCGUUGGCGUCCUUUGCUGUUUUUUCAGUGUCUCUCGCUUGAUUCCGCCUUCUUCCUUUGCCUUCAUGAGCCUCUCUCCUCUUCGCCCUUCCCCCCCCCCGCAUGUCCGCGCCCUCACCGUGUCUCGCUCGCAUUUUUUGCGGUUGCUUGCGUGUCCUCCCUACCCACCCCCGACUCAUUCUCUAUCUGUUACCCUCCGUGCGAGGGUAUGGUCAGCUCACUUUUUUCUCUCUUCUGCAGCGUGUACGGCUCCUUUCCUACGUAUACGUAAGCGUAAAUGUGGGGCGCGUGCGUUCCACUCUCUGUACGCUCCCCCUGCGGUCUGCGUCAUCCAUGGAUUGAGGGCCUUUUCUAGCUUCGCCGACAUCUAUCGUGUUGUCGUCACAAUGCUCGUCUACGCUGGGGCGCGCGUGCCCCGCUGUGUGUGUUUUCAGCUCCUGUCCUCUUCUGCCGUCCUCUAGCGGGCACUUUUAGUGCGCUCCCUCAGCACACGCUGCGACCUGACGCCCGGCAAACGGCGUGAAACGAAUUCCGCCGAAUCCCAGUAUCCUCAUCAUGGACGCGUCUGCGCGCAAGGGCCCUGCUCGUGUGGGGAACGCCUCCAGCGGCGCGGCUUUACUCUUUGCACGCACCGUCACGAGCGCGUGCUGCUGAAGGCAGCAGAAGAACGGGCUGCCCUGUCUCUGAAUCGCUGAACGCGGCGCCAGCGUAAAGACGUGGUGCAGCUCACGUCGUGGUUUCUGGCUCUGCCCCUUUCAGAGAUGACGACACCUCCACGAGGCAUCUCACCGUUUGCCAGUUUCUCCUCAUGUCUGUAGUUGGUCUCCUCGUCCCCGUCUCUUCUUCCGACAAG
Molecule: unclassified non-coding RNA, 2832 nt
Filed under: Leishmania donovani
Lineage: Eukaryota; Euglenozoa; Kinetoplastea; Trypanosomatida; Trypanosomatidae
Description: gene:unknown
Source: RNAcentral